AUGGCCUCAGCAUCUGUGGGACUCCACCCUGGAACCGGGCACUCUGGGUUGGGCUGUGGCCAUGGGUUCCCUCAGGCUGGGAGGCCAUUUCUGGGGAGGCGAGGUCCUGCCUCCUCUCCAACAGCCUCAGUCCGCUGGGCCCGAUGGGGACCCUGCACCACUGACCCCGAGGACCCUGGCAAGCAGGCAAACCACACUGACUGGCCAAGGGGGGCCCGGGUGCAGAGCCAGCAGAGACGGAUGGCGCAGCCAGAGUGGAGGCAGGCAGGGAGCCAGGGGGCACAGGGGACGGGACACUCCUCAUCUGGGGUGUCUGGGACUGCCCUGGCACUACUUCUCACCCCCCUGCCCCAUUCGGUCCACCCUGCACAUCUGGAAGUGGCCCUGAAGCUCGCGGCGGGUGGGGGGGUGCACGGCCGGGGCUCCACUGGCCACAGACCUGAAAUCACGGAGGAGCCCUGCCAGGCGGCGGGGCCCUGGCCUCACUGUGUCCAGACCCUUCCUGUCUCCCUCACGGGCUGGAUGAAGCCAGAGGCCCCAGAGGAGCCCCCCAGGCCACCCCCUGUCUGUCCACACUGGCCGUGUGUCUCAGAUGGAGCCUCUAAUGCACGCGAGGCCCCGGCCCCUCAGGACCAACCUCCCCCAGUCCCCGGGACCCUGAGCCCCAUCCUGGUGCCCGGGGGUGAAGUCUGGCCAUGGAGGAGCAUGCAGGGCAGUGGCCGAGGGAGUGGAGGGGCCCGUGCCUGCCGAGCCCCCUUCUCCAGAGAGCCAGAGCAUCAGCCUGGAGCCCGCAGGGCCGGGGUCCCCUGGGCGGGCAGGUGGGGUCCCCGGAGCAGGCCAAGCCAGAGGGAGCCCUGGGGGGCAGGGAGAGCCACGGCCGAGCCGCCUGUCUGGGUGAGAAUAGGAGGUGGGGUGGGUGCGGGGGGCAGGAGUGGGGCCCGUGGAACUGGCGUGGGCGGCAGCAGGACAAGGGGUCAGGCAGGCUGGCCGGAGGGCGCUGCUCCUCCGCAACAGCUCCGGCUGGCUCGGGCCGCGGGCAGCAGGCACAGUGCUCUCCGGUCCCCCGACACCCGGCAGCACCCGGGAGCGGCCCCUGCGACCCACAGCUGGGCAGGCAGGCACAGGGCGCUGGGCUGCAAGGCCCCGGCCCUCUGCUUCUCACCUCCUCCUCCAUGCGGCCCGUCCAGCCCCUCGUGGCGUCCGUGGCAGGGGGGCAGCACCAGGCUGCUGCAGGGCCAGGCGCCCGGUCCCCAAGCCUAG
RNAcentral lists this long non-coding RNA (1260 nucleotides) under Canis lupus familiaris (dog). RNAcentral describes it as "lncRNA (ENSCAFG00000058634.1, ENSCAFG00845023836.1)". The record is from RNAcentral. Lineage: Eukaryota; Metazoa; Chordata; Mammalia; Carnivora; Canidae.